AAUAAGCACCGGCUAACUCUGUGCCAGCAGCCGCGGUAAUACAGAGGGUGCGAGCGUUAAUCGGAUUUACUGGGCGUAAAGCGUGCGUAGGCGGCUUAUUAAGUCGGAUGUGAAAUCCCCGAGCUUAACUUGGGAAUUGCAUUCGAUACUGGUGAGCUAGAGUAUGGGAGAGGAUGGUAGAAUUCCAGGUGUAGCGGUGAAAUGCGUAGAGAUCUGGAGGAAUACCGAUGGCGAAGGCAGCCAUCUGGCCUAAUACUGACGCUGAGGUACGAAAGCAUGGGGAGCAAACAGGAUUAGAUACCCUGGUAGUCCAUGCCGUAAACGAUGUCUACUAGCCGUUGGGGCCUUUGAGGCUUUAGUGGCGCAGCUAACGCGAUAAGUAGACCGCCUGGGGAGUACGGUCGCAAGACUAAAACUCAAAUGAAUUGACGGGGGCCCGCACAAGCGGUGGAGCAUGUGGUUUAAUUCGAUGCAACGCGAAGAACCUUACCUGGCCUUGACAUACUAGAAACUUUCCAGAGAUGGAUUGGUGCCUUCGGGAAUCUAGAUACAGGUGCUGCAUGGCUGUCGUCAGCUCGUGUCGUGAGAUGUUGGGUUAAGUCCCGCAACGAGCGCAACCCUUUUCCUUACUUGCCAGCAUUUCGGAUGGGAACUUUAAGGAUACUGC
Molecule: ribosomal RNA, 667 nt
Filed under: Acinetobacter baumannii
Lineage: Bacteria; Pseudomonadati; Pseudomonadota; Gammaproteobacteria; Moraxellales; Moraxellaceae
Description: bacterial SSU rRNA
Rfam family: Bacterial small subunit ribosomal RNA
Source: RNAcentral